AUUUACAGAGAUUCGCUAAAAAUUAGAUUCAAAAAAGAAAAAUUCCUUCUAUUUGAACUAGAGUAUAUGAGCUUCGAGAUUCUGGACAAAAAUAACUUUACGAUAAUACCCAUAACGCUAUUUUAUAGAAAUCCUAGGAAUCAUUUUAGUAGACAGGACUGGAAUAACCUAUUCAGAGACAUAGAUGUGACGGACGAGACAAUUUUAAUAGGAGACCUGAACGCAAAAAACACCCUUUGGAACUGUAAACAAUCUGAUCAAUCGGGCAAAGCCCUAGAAAAAGAACUAGACAAUUGGGAUCUUAUAAUACAUAACACGGACAUGAUAACGAGAGAUGACCCAGGUACGGCAGAACCUAAUAUCGACUUAAUAAUAUCGCGUCCCCAUUUAGCGGAAUACAUCAAAUAUUCCGAAACAAACAUUUGUUUAGGAUCGAACCAUCAGAUACUGAACAUACAGAUUUAUUCAGACAAUGAUUUCGGUUUAGACAUAGCAAACACAAGCUCAAGGAUAAACAACAGACUGUAUAAUUCCAAAAAAGGAUUAGUCUGGAGAGGGUUCAGAGAAAAACUGGAAUCGAACAAAAUAUAACAACAAAGGACAAGGACCAAUUAAGGAAAAAACAUAAAAAUGCCGAAAGACCACAAACAGUAAAAUACCACAGAAUUCAGGAACCAAACCAUAAUAAACACAAAAAGUCCUGGUGGGACGAAGAAUGCAGAGAACAUUGGGAAAACUGGAAGAAAAGUAUGAAGAAAGUAUGUAAGACCGGUAAUACGGAGGACUUCAUAAUAAUGGAACACAACAGGAAAAAAGUGGAACGAAAUGAAACAAAAAAAGAAAGAUUCAGCCUGGUCAUCGCUCACAGAAGAGAUAGCAAAGGAAAGGGACUUAAGUAAGAUAUGGAGAAGAAUUAGAGGAAUCAAAGAAUGUUUCACCAAAGAAAAAUCACCCCUUAAUGAUAGUACGAGAAUAGAAUUGGAGGAAAUAGAAAUUUUCAAGUUGAAAAACAAAAAUCUGGCUAUUUCAGGUAUCGUAACGGACGACUCGACAACGAACAACUGGAGUCAAGACAUUCAAACGAGCAUAUGGGAGAAAGACUUGGAAAAUUAUGAGAUUCUGAUGACAAUAAAUAGCACCAAAGGUAAAACGCCAGCCCCAGGGGACAACAGGAUCGAUUACAAAAUAAUGAAAAAUUCUCUUUGGGCCGAAGAAAACAACAUAAUUAAAGAAACUCAGGCAGGAUUUAGAAAAA
This is a long non-coding RNA of Hylaeus anthracinus, 1255 nucleotides long. RefSeq lists it as uncharacterized. The transcript has 3 exons. NCBI's taxonomy places the organism in Eukaryota, Metazoa, Arthropoda, Insecta, Hymenoptera, Colletidae. The record is from RefSeq and is a predicted model, not a curated record.